Molecule: ribosomal RNA, 254 nt
Filed under: uncultured bacterium
Lineage: Bacteria
Description: partial 16S ribosomal RNA
Rfam family: Bacterial small subunit ribosomal RNA
Source: RNAcentral
UACAAAGGGGGGCUAGCGUUGCUCGGAUUGACUGGGCGUAAAGGGCGCGUAGGCGGUUCGUACAGUCAGACGUGAAAUUCCUGGGCUCAACCUGGGGGCUGCGUUUGAUACGUGCGGACUUGAGUGCGGAAGAGGGUCGUGGAAUUCCCAGUGUAGAGGUGAAAUUCGUAGAUAUUGGGAAGAACACCGGUGGCGAAGGCGGCGACCUGGUCCGAUACUGACGCUGAGGCGCGAAAGCGUGGGGAGCAAACAGG